Molecule: ribosomal RNA, 311 nt
Filed under: uncultured eukaryote
Lineage: Eukaryota
Description: partial 18S ribosomal RNA
Rfam family: Eukaryotic small subunit ribosomal RNA
Source: RNAcentral
CCCCUAGACGUUCUGGGCUGCACGCGCGCUACAAUAAUACGCACAGCGAGUAUCACCGAGCUCGAAAGGGCAAGGUAAACAAUAGAAAAGGUACUGUAAUGGUUAUAGAUCCUUGUAAUUAUUGAUCUUCAACGAGGAAUUCCUAGUAAGUAUGUGUCAUCAUCACGCACCGAUUACGUCCCUGCCCUUUGUACACACCGCCCGUCGCUCCUACCGAUUGGGUGAGCCGAUGAAACUCUCGGAUGUAGGCUAUUCAUAGCCCGCAGAAGAGAUUUGAAUCGUAGCGCUUAGAGGAAGGAGAAGUCGUAACA